This 74-nucleotide transfer RNA is filed under the name Candidatus Levybacteria bacterium RIFCSPLOWO2_12_FULL_37_14. RNAcentral's name for it is "tRNA-Ala". It matches the Rfam family "tRNA". From Rfam's summary of the family: Transfer RNA (tRNA) molecules are approximately 80 nucleotides in length. Their secondary structure includes four short double-helical elements and three loops (D, anti-codon, and T loops). Further hydrogen bonds mediate the characteristic L-shaped molecular structure. tRNAs have two regions of fundamental functional importance: the anti-codon, which is responsible for specific mRNA codon recognition, and the 3' end, to which the tRNAs corresponding amino acid is attached (by aminoacyl-tRNA synthetases). tRNAs cope with the degeneracy of the genetic code in two manners: having more than one tRNA (with a specific anti-codon) for a particular amino acid; and 'wobble' base-pairing, i.e. permitting non-standard base-pairing at the 3rd anti-codon position. The record is from RNAcentral. Lineage: Bacteria; Candidatus Levyibacteriota.
GGGCCUGUGGUUCAACGGUAGAACACGGCAUUCGCAUUGCCGGGAUCCGAGUCCAAUUCUCGGCAGGUCCACAA